Molecule: ribosomal RNA, 472 nt
Filed under: bacterium enrichment culture clone ALO1_GLFRUDD03FNEM6
Lineage: Bacteria
Description: bacterial SSU rRNA
Rfam family: Bacterial small subunit ribosomal RNA
Source: RNAcentral
GAGUUUGAUCCUGGCUCAGAGCGAACGCUGGCGGCAUGCUUAACACAUGCAAGUCGCACGGUCAGCAAUGGCAGUGGCGGACGGGUGAGUAACACGUAGGAAUCUAUCUCUGGGUGGGGGACAACAGUGGGAAACUACUGCUAAUACCGCAUGAUACCUGAGGGUCAAAGGCGUAAGUCGCCUGGAGAGGAGCCUGCGUCUGAUUAGCUUGUUGGUGGGGUAAAGGCCUACCAAGGCUACGAUCAGUAGCUGGUCUGAGAGGAUGAUCAGCCACAUUGGGACUGAGACACGGCCCAAACUCCUACGGGAGGCAGCAGUGGGGAAUAUUGGACAAUGGGCGAAAGCCUGAUCCAGCAAUGCCGCGUGUGUGAAGAAGGUCUUCGGAUUGUAAAGCACUUUUGGCAGGGACGAUGAUGACGGUACCUGCAGAAUAAGCCCCGGCUAACUUCGUGCCAGCAGCCGCCGCAGUAAG